This 720-nucleotide ribosomal RNA is filed under the name uncultured bacterium. Its description in RNAcentral is "bacterial SSU rRNA". It matches the Rfam family "Bacterial small subunit ribosomal RNA", at positions 193 to 916 of the family's 1533-position model. The record is from RNAcentral.
UAUUAAUAUUAUAGCUCCGGCGGUUAAAGAUGGGCGCGCGCCUGAUUAGGUAGUUGGCGGGGUAACGGCCCACCAAGCCUUCGAUCAGUAACUGGUGUGAGAGCACGACCAGUCACACGGGCACUGAGACACGGGCCCGACUCCUACGGGAGGCAGCAGUAAGGAAUAUUGGUCAAUGGACGCAAGUCUGAACCAGCCAUGCCGCGUGGAGGAUUAAGGCCCUCUGGGUUGUAAACUCCUUUUAUCUGGGAAGAAAUGCUUUGAUUCUUCAAAGCUUGACGGUACCAGAGGAAUAAGCACCGGCUAACUCCGUGCCAGCAGCCGCGGUAAUACGGAGGGUGCAAGCGUUAUCCGGAUUCACUGGGUUUAAAGGGUGCGUAGGCGGGUAAGUAAGUCCGUGGUGAAAUCUCUGAGCUUAACUCAGAAACUGCCGUGGAUACUAUUUGCCUUGAAUAUUGUGGAGGUGAGCGGAAUAUGUCAUGUAGCGGUGAAAUGCUUAGAUAUGACAUAGAACACCAAUUGCGAAGGCAGCUCACUACACAAUCAUUGACGCUGAGGCACGAAAGCGUGGGGAUCAAACAGGAUUAGAUACCCUGGUAGUCCACGCCCUAAACGAUGAUUACUCGACAUCAGCGAUACACUGUUGGUGUCUGAGCGAAAGCAUUAAGUAAUCCACCUGGGAAGUACGACCGCAAGGUUGAAACUCAAAGGAAUUGACGG